Small nucleolar RNA from Echinops telfairi (small Madagascar hedgehog), 134 nucleotides. NCBI's taxonomy places the organism in Eukaryota, Metazoa, Chordata, Mammalia, Afrosoricida, Tenrecidae. The record is from Ensembl.
GCCCAGCGGUUGCCGGGUGCUGUUGCUCAGGUACAGCUUUCCAGUCAAUGGCAAUGGGCUAGAGCAAUACUGUGAUGUAUGCAUGGGGGCUGUUCCUUUUCAGCAGCCUCCAUAGCCCGGUCACUGGGAUGGGG